This 1046-nucleotide long non-coding RNA is filed under the name Marmota monax (woodchuck). Lineage: Eukaryota; Metazoa; Chordata; Mammalia; Rodentia; Sciuridae. The record is from RNAcentral.
AUAACUCUGCUUCUGCUUCUCUUUUAAGAUGCAGAUGUCCCAGGGGGUGCGAUCUCCACCGGGUCCCUUUCCCAGUGGAGCAAAGACCCAGGUUCAUAAACCGAAGGUUGGGUUGGGGGUAAAGGAGAAGAAAAGAGCUCGGAAAGACAGUGGUGCACAGAAGGUGAAUUCUGCACAUGAGUCGAGGGCAGAGAUCGACCUGGAUGGUGCGUCUUGAAAUUCGCAGCCAGCAAGGCCAGAUGGUUUCAGCAGACAACGCUGGACACACACUCAUGUGUCUGGGUUUUUCUUUUCUUUUUCCAUUUUGUUUCCUGGACUGAAAGCACAAAAGUAGGGCUGUGCAGUCCCAAUCCAGACACCUGGCAGUGCCCACGGAGACUGACUGGGAGCCGACAGAGUCCUCUGGGCCAGCAGAAACACAAACAGCCACACCCUCUCCAACGCCACUCGGGCUCGGGCCGGCUUCCAGAUUUCCAGCACGGAUCCCAUCCUUAGGGGAGAGCGGGGAGUGCCAGCCACAGUCACGCUCCCUGGGAGUGCUCCCCGUGCUCAGGGGCCCCAGACCCACCCUGAGCUCUCGUCCCGCCUGCCCUCCAUGGCAACUGUGAUGGCGGUCAUCCCUGGUUUACUGAUGAGAAAACAGACAAGAGCUGGGGGAAGGUCAUUGCGUGGGGACAGAGGCUAGAGGGCGUCCACUCCAAACAGUGAGGAUUCUGUGCAGAGGAAGUUCCUGUCCUCAUGUUGCACCCAAGUCUAAGCCACCUAAGACAGGUACGGAGGCCCCACCGUGUGGGAUCCCCCGCACCCUCCAGCUUGGGGCUUCACCCAUCUUCACCACGGCCAAGAUGGCCACAUGGGCGCCACAAACCAGCCAGCAGGAAGAGAAAAGGGAAGGGACGGGACCGCGGUCCUGCGGAAGAGCAGACACUUUCGUGAGUCACUUCUGCUCCCGCCUCCCUGGUCAGAAGUUGGCCACCCUGGUGUGUCUGACCUGAAUCCAGGCCACAGGGCUCUACCCCGCAGGUGACACAGGUGGCUGUGGGAAU